This 253-nucleotide ribosomal RNA is filed under the name uncultured bacterium. RNAcentral's name for it is "partial 16S ribosomal RNA". It matches the Rfam family "Bacterial small subunit ribosomal RNA", at positions 524 to 776 of the family's 1533-position model. The record is from RNAcentral.
UACGAGAGCCUCGAGCGUUAUCCGGAAUUAUUGGGCGUAAAGGGUGCGUAGGUUGUUCUGUUAGUCUUUUGUCAAAUUCUUCGGCUUAACCGGGGGCAGGCGAGGGAAACGGCAGAACUUGAAAGUGUGAGAGGCGUACGGAACUCAUGGUGUAGGGGUGAAAUCCGUUGAUAUCAUGGGGAACACCAAAUGCGAAGGCAGUACGCUGGCGCAUAUUUGACACUGAAGCACGAAAGCGUGGGUAGCGAAUGGG